GUCAGGACAACCCCUGGCUGACACCAUCGUGAAGCUUUCCCGGUUCCUCAGCGUAUCAGAAAUCGAUAACAUUAGAAGCUACUCCUCAAUGCUGUAUCAUAUGCUGCAAACCAGGAAGACUGCUGUAGCAGUUGACUUGAACUCCAUUAUAGAAUAUGCUGAUCUGCUGUACACUGAUGGCGAGGGAUGGGAACUCUUCGAUGCCAUUAUGGAGUAUGAACAAUAUCCUAAUGGUACAAGAAACGCAAAACAGCUUUGUGAAUUUAUAUUCGACUGUUUUAUGAGACCGUACAGAAGACUCAGCCAUUUAGAGC
This is a non-coding RNA of Spodoptera litura, 314 nucleotides long. The record is from RefSeq and is a predicted model, not a curated record. Lineage: Eukaryota; Metazoa; Arthropoda; Insecta; Lepidoptera; Noctuidae.